UAGUUGGCCACAUUGAAACAGCAGCAGGACCAAGAGAAUCACACAACCCGUCAAACUACCCCCAAUUUCACAACCCCACUAUAUAAAGUCCUCAAUUAACCCCAACGAUAUUUUUCAUGCCUUUCUCUCUCUACACCAUUCCUCUCCCUUCUCUCUCUCUCUAUCUCUCUCCUUCCAUUUCUAGAAUCGAACUCGUGUUACAGAUCAGAAGGUUUUGGAAGACAUGGCAUUUCAUCACGACUCAGCUUUGUGGACAAACCGUCGCUUAUUUUCUCAGGCCAGUUUCCUCAGAAUUUGUUGUUCAUGCAACUUUAACCUUACUGCGCCACAUGGAGAUGUGAAAAUUAUCUUCAUUGUUAUCCAGGUUUACCAUUGGAAUCCUUGUGAUCCAGAAGUAAGCUUGUUUAAGAAGCACUUACUGUUUUCGGCAGAAAAGAAUGUUUGUGGAACAUGCUCCAUAUAUUAUCUGUUACUUGAGCGCGAGUGUCUUUUGGAAACAGCCUAUCUAUCUCCAUGAGGUAGAGAUAACUUCUGCGUACAGUCUACCGACCCGGACCUCACAUUUGGGAUUGCACUAGUUCGACACUGGUGUGAAAUGAAAUUAAUAUGUCCCUUUCUAAAGACUAUUGCACGCAAAGCAUAUUGAUGCAACAAUGCGAGAUAAAAUUAUAAGCUAUUGGUUUGUGGAGGCCUUGAAGUUGAUGGUCAUAAACUAUGAUGUCUCGUACAGUAAGGAGUAAUUGAAUUUGAUGUUCUGUUAGUGAAUAAUUGCAGUUGUACAUAAAAAAAAUUACAGUUGCGUCAUAGUUGCCCCGCUUGGAGAUUGUAAAGCAGCUCUACACGUGAUUUUCUGUUCCUGGAUUUGUGUACCAUUGAAAGAGUGUGCUAUGAGCAUGAGUGCAAUACGUCAUGAUGGCAGUAUUAACCCCUGAGCAGAAUUCUUUCUUAUGUCUUAAAUUAGGUUGGUCUAUCCAGUCUUAUUAUUAAAAGGAGUCAUGUGCUGCUUCCAUGAUCAAUCUACCAGGAAUUAUCUUCCAACACCAUAUCCAAAAGCUCCAAGCUGUACCUAAAUUUAUAUGUGAGCAUAGGAAUGAACUAGGUGUAGGUUAACACCAGCUGUCAUCUUGGUAGAUAUUUGACAAGAGAUAGUGUGCCCUAGCUGACGAUUUUCAAUAAAUGGGCUUCACCGGAAAUAAAUCAUUACUACCUCUACCACAAAUUGAAUCUCUCCUUGUUGAAUUGGCGUGACUCAAAUAAGAUUCAGAAGAUUUUAUUUAAGAUUUUGACACUAGCUAGAAGGCUGGGGGAUAAGCAACCUUUGGAGUCCUUCUUACUAGAACUUUGCCCACAAUAGAACUUUUACACUAUAAAGGUAAUUUUUAAAAAAUGGCCAAAUUUUCAUGUACAGCAGGGAUUAGGCAGACUACUAAAUCCUUGAAGUUGAUAAUGGUGAUCGUCAGUAAAAAGGUAGCACAAGGUUUUGUUUUUCCAAUCAUAACCCUCUCAAGAGCAUGAAAACCCUUUCUUUUAUUGCUCUUGCAGAAAAUCAGGCUGUAUCUGUGUAGAAUCUCUUUUCGCAUAAAUAUGCAGGUAGGGAUGUAUGAAAAUUGUUUAGCUGAAGAUAUAAAAUGCUUCAAAGUAAUUGUAAAGUGUGAACCAUAAGACAGUUCUAUCCUGGGCUAUAUUGUGAUUGAUUUAAAGCCAUAGUCCCUGAUCUAUUCUUUUAUGUGACCUCUACAGUAAAAUCUUGAAAGGUGAAGUUUUGGUACAUUUUCAAUGGGUAACAUUUCAUCCCAGAUCAGUAAUAAUGGAAUACAAGCUCCUGUUCUCUGACAAUGUAUUGGAUUGCCCAUAGUUUAUAAGACACUAGUUUGGAUGAAAUGUUUCUAGUUUCUCGUAAGGCAUCUUCCUUCCAUCUUAACUAUAAGUUUUCAAACUUUAGCCUCCAUUUCAGCAUCUUCAGCUGUACAGCUAACUGUUAAAUAUGAGAAUCUUUUGCUUCUUGCAGGAUUCUGUUUUGUCUCUUCACUUUUGUCCCUAUUACCCUGCUUCCGUCUCCUAAUUCUAUUUUCCUUGGGAACACAGUUUGACCUUUCCAGUAAAGUUGGUACUAAUAUGAAACCUUUAAUGAACUUCAUUCUGAGUCUCAUAAAGAUCAUUCCCUCACUUAUUCUAUUUUCAGUUUGACCCAACAUAUGGCUAGACCGACCAUUGGGACAGACAAGUGUUGAGUAUGGCAGAAAGGCAGGGCAAUGAGGAAUCGUUGUACCAAAUUCAAGCCAACCUACUUUGCAGAUGUCCAGAAAUCAGCUCACCAUGUUGAGUAGAUAUGCACAUAUUACGUGUUAUAGAAGGCCUUGAACCUGAGAUUUUAGGUUGUUAAUUCUGUACCUUAAUUACUCAACAAGUCCCUUGGUAUUUCCUAGAUUAUGUCCAACUACAUGAAGUAAUUAUGAUAGAAAGCUUAGCUAUGCAUAUUUUUCUUUGACUAGUUGACUGCAAAUUAACCAGUGAAACUUACCCUAACCUCAGAAGUUGGAGUUUCCAAUUGAUGAUUCUCCUCCUUUGUUUUGUUGUAUCGUUCAAUCACCGACUUCAUGCUGUCAAAGUAAAUAUAUUCAGAAUUGUCUUUAUUAUCUUCUUAUAAGAAAGGACACAAAUAGAACAAGACAGGUAAUAUCUUUUGCAGCCUCUUAUUAACCUGAUGACUGCAAUUCUGGUAUUUGAUUUCUUUUUCUGUGUUUGUCAGUUGAUUGAACUUGGGAGUGAUAGCGCACAAAACCUUUACAAAGUGAAUGGUACUGUCUUUAAGGUCAUUGCUGAACCAACUAAGUGAACCUUUGAUUGAACGCAACUACAAGAAACAAAAUGAUGUGUGGAUCAACUUGCAAAACAAUAUGAAUAGAGGAUGCAUGAUAAUAUAAACACAUUUUACUGUUUCUCCUUUGUUUGUCUUAGCUUUCAAGGCACAGAAGCUAGUAAUUACUUUCUUGCUUUGAAGUUUAAUCACUGUCUCUGUAGUAGCACUUCUUAUUUUUUACUGGGCACAAGAAAACAUUAAUACACAUGUGGUUUUGAACAUGUCUAAAAA
Molecule: long non-coding RNA, 3091 nt
Organism: Solanum pennellii
Lineage: Eukaryota; Viridiplantae; Streptophyta; Magnoliopsida; Solanales; Solanaceae
Exons: 8
Source: RefSeq, a predicted model, not a curated record